Long non-coding RNA from Neopelma chrysocephalum (saffron-crested tyrant-manakin), 4217 nucleotides. RefSeq lists it as uncharacterized. Lineage: Eukaryota; Metazoa; Chordata; Aves; Passeriformes; Pipridae. The record is from RefSeq and is a predicted model, not a curated record. The transcript is spliced from 15 exons.
GAGCCCGGCGGUGUCCCUGUGCUCGGAGCCCCCAGACCCGAGCGUCUCCCCUCAGUCCUGACGCUGCUUUUCGUCUUUUCCGAUCAAUCAGAGGGAAUUUCCCCAUUCCUCCCCGUCCCCAUAGUCUGCGAGGGCAGGGUGUGGGCUUUCUGAAAAAGUAACUGCUGUAAAACCGCUCCGCAUCUAUCCAGAUAAAUCCGGGGCAAUGAUGGUCCUCGAUGACGGCUGGAGAGUGAAAUAAGGGCGAACAUUCUGUGUUGUUACUUGAACUAAGACCGAACAAGAAAAGUUGAGCCCUGUGAAACGCUGUUUGCAGUUUGUCUUGAAACCUAGAGAAAAAGGCAUGUGAUUCAGCAUCCUGGACAUAAGCAGGCAGAAUGAAAGGUGGAAGAAUUUUCACUUUUCUGGCCUUUUCCUGAUGACAGUGGCUUUGACUGGGGGCCCUGAUCUCCCAAACACUGAUUGUCUUAUGUUCCUCAAUUCUGAAAACCUUCAAGCAUACAGUCAGGUAUCCUGCCAGCAGCUCUGCAGCAGUCAAUGCUUUUGCAAUACCGGGCUCUGCUCAUUUCAAAACUGUGAAGCAAUCCAGCUUAGCAGUCAGCAGAGUGUAAAACUGAAUAGUAGGAAGCAUUGGAGACCACCUACUCCAGUUUCGAGCAGAAGAAAACCUUAAAACUUCAAGGAUCAGAAUACUGGGACAUCUCCAUUGACAGGAAAUCUAACAGGUAGAGACAGGAAAAAAAUUAGGAGAUGAAUACACAAGAAGAGUUCUGCUGUACGGUGCAAAUUGCCCGCUGUGGUACCAGACAGCCCUUGUUGAUCAUAUUCUUUCCCUGAAUAUGAAACAUGGCAACCCACUGCACUAGGGCUCAGGAUUGAUAUUGCUGUCCUGCAAGGAUAAUUGGGAAUUUACCAAACCAGAGCAACAGAUGCCUUGAGAGACGCAAGUAUCUUUCAGGAGAUGCCUUAUCAUGUAUCUGUCAUAAAGCCAAAGUAGGAGCAACUGUUCAUUCUAAGAUGCAUAAAGCAACUUUCCAAGAUGAUGCUCUAAGAAGAGCACUGAAGAGCUCUGAAGAGCUUGAAGGUGGCAGGUAGGGGUGGCACACCUGAACUGCUCCUGGCUGCCCUGGAACAUCCCACUGAAGAUAACAUUUAUGGAAAUGCAAGGAAAAUAAUUGCUCCACCUUGCAGGUACAAAAUAAGAUGCCAUGUUCCUCACAGCGGCCAGAGUUGACAUGGAUGAACAGCUCUCCCAGAGGGACCUGCUUCCCUAUGGGAAGAUGCCCAGGACAAUAAUGUUUCUGCUAGUAGAGCUGAGGGGAAAGGCCAUAUUUGGGACCUGAUGUUAGGUCAGAAUUGGAGCUGGAACUUUGAAUACCAUUUUUUCCCCCCCAAAAUGGUCCUGUAUUCUACUCUCUCAGCCUUGUCCUCAGCUAACGUGUUGCAGUAUUGCUUAGAGAUGAGCUGCGCUGAUGCCACUGCUGUACUCUUGCUGGUUUGGAGCAUGGGGUCUGCCUGGCCAGGUCCAGGAGGAGCUGGGAAGAUGGACUGGCUUGCAGUGCUGUUUGAAAGCUGCACAGACCUCUUUCCUAGCAGAAUGUUUAAUGGAAUCUGCUUCCUUGAAACCAAAAUGAGGCAACAGCUGUGAUUGCAGCAAGCUGCAACAUCUCAUUGCUGGAUGGAGGCACAUCCUGUUACAAGUGGCGCUGCUGUAAAACCCCAGCAAAAGAACCUACUGAGACCUGCCUGGUUGGGGGCUGUGAACUCCCUUGAGGCCUCAAGAAGAAGCUUGGAAUGUGGUGCCAGCACAACAGCAGACAGUGAGAGAAACUGAGGCAAGCACCUCCAAGAUAAGUAAUAAAUGAUAAUUGUUAUUUCCUAUUAUUAAUCUGAAUCUCUACUCCUGAGAAUUUGAGUUAAAUCCUAAAUUUUCCUUUUAUUUUUAAGCAGAUCAUCCAGCAAGUUAGAAAACAGCAACACAAGGAGGUCCUAAGAUAGGGUUUGCUCCAGUUUUCCUGCUGAGCAUCUGUUUAGGAAUUGCUGCUAAAAAAAGUCAGAGGGGAUGGUAGUUGCUGUGCUGUCACAUGGGCUGAUACAGCACAGAAUCUGCUUAGCAUUCUUGAAGGGAAAUUAUCCAGUGCUGUAACUCACAAUUUAUAAUUGGUUGCAUAUUAAUAUCUAAAAAAGGCAAUAAAAUCCACUGUGUGUUUAAAAAAAAUAGUAAGUAGGAGUAUUACAAGCUGAGCAGUGAAAAUCUGGAAGACUUCUUGGCUAGAGCAGGGCUGUGUGCAGUGCUGUUUCUCCCUUAAUUACAAGCAAUUUUAAAUCAUCUCCUUCCUUCAAAGAAGGAUUUUGUUCAGGGUUUGUGUUAAUUUUAAUCUUGCUAACGUGAUACUCUCUUGGAACCUCUCCCUUGUGUCAUAACAGUGAGAUGUGCUGCCUCUUUUGUCCCUGCCCUUUGGGAAAUGCAGUUACUGCUGCUCGUUGCCUCAACCCUGCCGUCGUGACUAUCAGUGUACCUCCCUUGAAAGGAGAAGAAAACAAAACCCAACUGCAGCAUUGCUUUCCCCCCCCCAGAGGAUGGAUUACAAAGCCCUCACUGAGUUUCUGCCCACACUUGUCACUAGAGGAUAAGUAAGUUUGGGUUUUUGUCAAGCCCUGUGUGAAUGACCCGUUAACUCCAGAGGAACUGGGAUGCCUUGAGUGACACUCUGCGAGCUGGAUUGCACUGAGACUUCUGCAUUUCAGGAAUGUGACUCCUGUCCUUGACCUGGUCUGCAGAUAAAUACAACAUGCCCCUUAGUGCUGAGUGGUUUGGGAAGAAUGUCAGCCAGACAAGAGAGGGGAGAUAAAGGAAAGACAGGCUAUGAUAGGAACUGGGCUGUCUGAUUCUGCAAUGUGGGAAUCGCCUUUUCUCAGCUGCCAGUGUCAAAGUCAAGCUUGCAUUGCACAAAUAAAAUGGGGUAUUCCACACACACACCUGCACCCUUUCAAUUGUCACUGACAUUUAGCAGAGGGAAUAUUCAAAACAUUAUUCCCUCCAAUACAGAAUGGCUGUUGGGUGUUACCAGAUCACAUAAAAAGACAUCUGAGUGGAGUUUUUCCAGCAACAAACAAGAAACAAAGGGAGGAUUAAAAAAAUGUUUUGCUAUGUAUACUGUUAUGAUUUUUUUGGUGAAUAUAUAUAUAUAUAAAUUGAUGUUGAGAUGUGAAGAAACAAAGAAAAAGAGCAGGCAAGUGUGCUACCAUAAAAUGUAGCAUGACUUGUUACAGAACUGAAUGUUACAGGGUCAAGCAUCAGGUAGGGACAUGUGUUGGGGACCAGGAUGGUACUUUACAUUUAUUACUGAGGUCAGUACAAAUUCUCCACUACCUUAAUUAACGUGGGAUCAAAGGUUUGAUGAGAUCUAGAAAUCCAAACACAUUUAAAAUGUGGCAGGUGUGGGUAACCUCAAGUACACAGCCCAUUGCCUCAGAAAGAGGAAUGUUCUUGCAAAUUUGACAUAAUCCAAUUAGUUGAUUCCCUCAGUGACAUUUCUGCAGGCUCAUGUACAGAGGGACAAGGAAAGGGAGAUUUAUGACAGCUAUUCCUAGCAAAGGUCAUUUCUUUAUUAGUGAACAACCUGUCCUUAGUCAUGCUGAUGACGAGGCGUUGAAGGAUAAGGGAGAGGCUGUGUAGCUUUAAAACUUGACAGGGAAUAACAGCAAUAGAGCAUAGAUCAUCUCUCUACUUGGACCAGGAGGACUAAAAUCUCCCACCAUUAGGCCAAAGCCAGAGAGCAGGAGGCAAAAUCCAGGAAAAAAAAUACAUGGGGAUUUCUGUGGAGAUUGUGAAGGAGUUUGGGUGGUUCAGUGUCAGCACAGCAGGGGGGAAAGAGGAGCCACAGAGCAUGAAUAUGUGUUUUUGGAUAGGAUGAGUGUCCUUGGUGGAACUAGCUGCUUAUAAAGAACCUGGUAUGGUUGCUCUGGGGAAUCCCUGGUCAGCACUGCCAACUUCCCAGCUUGAGCAGCUCUCAGCAUCCUGUUCCAUGCCAUUUCCAGAACAACACAGAUGAGAGCAUGCUCAAAUAUAUACAAAUACACUUCCUCGGCUGUCCUUCCAUAGGCAAGGAAAGCACAAGAUUUGACAGGAAUAUGGUUUCAGUAGAUUGUGACAUACACAUUAUGUGUUUUUAAAUAAUAAACCAGCAUCUACCUAUUCAUCAAGUAACUAUUUU